GACGAACGCUGGCGGCGUGCUUAACACAUGCAAGUCGAACGGAAAGGCCCUGCUUUUGUGGGGUGCUCGAGUGGCGAACGGGUGAGUAACACGUGAGUAACCUGCCCUUGACUUUGGGAUGGCUUCAGGAAACUGGGGCUAAUACCGGAUAGGAGCUCCUGCUGCAUGGUGGGGGUUGGAAAGUUUCGGCAGUUGGGGAUGGACUCGCGGCUUAUCAGCUUGUUGGUGGGGUAGUGGCUUACCAAGGCUUUGACGGGUAGCCGGCCUGAGAGGGUGACCGGCCACAUUGGGACUGAGAUACGGCCCAGACUCCUACGGGAGGCAGCAGUGGGGAAUAUUGCACAAUGGGCGGAAGCCUGAUGCAGCAACGCCGCGUGCGGGAUGACGGCCUUCGGGUUGUAAACCGCUUUCGCCUGUGACGAAGCGUGAGUGACGGUAAUGGGUAAAGAAGCACCGGCUAACUACGUG
This 468-nucleotide ribosomal RNA is filed under the name uncultured bacterium. RNAcentral's name for it is "partial 16S ribosomal RNA". It matches the Rfam family "Bacterial small subunit ribosomal RNA", at positions 28 to 507 of the family's 1533-position model. The record is from RNAcentral.